Molecule: long non-coding RNA, 1617 nt
Organism: Megalobrama amblycephala (Wuchang bream)
Lineage: Eukaryota; Metazoa; Chordata; Actinopteri; Cypriniformes; Xenocyprididae
Exons: 2
Source: RefSeq, a predicted model, not a curated record
CAACAAUUUACAUGGACACGUCUUCCUCAGGGCUAUGUUGACUCGCCUGCUGUGUUCUCUGCAAUCGUGCACAAAACCCUCAGCAACAUCAAGCUCCCACCAACUACGCUCAUCUCAGCCACAACGACAGCAGAGAACUGAACAGGCCUCCGUCAUUGUCUGCUUCAAGAAAGAAAGUACAGUGGGUGAGACCACAAGUCUGUUAUCUGGGACACAUUAUCUCAGAAGGCCAUUGACACCAAGCCUCACCACAACAAGUCAUCAAGUGGACUGUUGAAAUGAACUACAAAAAAGACUUCCACCUUUAUGUGCACGAGAGCGGGGGCAUUGCAGCGGGGAUACUGGCCCAGGAACACGGUACAAGUUAUCGCCCUUUGGCAUAUUUUUCCAAAACAUUAGACAACAUUACACAAGGUCUGCCUUCGAGCAGUGGCUGCUGCUGCCCUGAUGGUAUGAGAUGCUGAAAAAACGUUACACACCUCACAUCAGAGAAACCAACACACAAGUUUGUGCAGGUGCUGAUAAGGAGUCUGAAACCAGUCAAGAUCGGAGAGCCAAAAUAUCUGGGGCCGGCCAUGGUGAUUGCAGUGACAAGGAUGGGAGUGCUGACUGACCUGCAGCCGCAAUUGAUGCACGCGAGUAGACUGAAGGCUGCCCCGUGCCAAGGGGACGUUCAGAUUAAUUAGGAGAGUAAACAUAUGGCCGGAAAGGAGCUGAACACGCAGCGUUACGUCCAUAUGCGAUCUGACUAGUUAAUCUGGACCAACAUAACGUCAAGGACCAUGGAAGGAGAGAGCAGUUCAGCAGUGUUGGAGAAAACUUUGACUGCAGAAUGGGACUUGUAACAAUAACUUUGAACUCGGCUAUGCCUGCUGCCAUGACAUGGACACAUGGACGACACCAAGGAUUCUUUGAUUUGUCAUGCCAUACACAGCGUCUGGUCCGUUGUCCCUCUAACUUACAAUGCUGCCAAGACAAUCAACAUGAACUAUGUAAAAAGGACAAUGGUUCUCUAACUGGGCGACAUACUUUAAUUUGUUGUUUCCUGUUCUACUAUUUACUGUUUACUGAUGAUUUUACUGCUUUUAUGUUUGGCUCCAUGCAUAUUACAAUCCAUACAGGGAAUGAUUAAGACAAGUCCUGGAAUAAUCCAUAGAUCACAGUAUUAGAUUAUGAUUAUGUGUUUAGAUUUUGCUUGCUAUUAUUUGAAAAACAGAUUGAUCAAUUUUCUUUAAAGGGAAGCACUAAAUCAUAAAUGAUUUAAAGUGGCCAUUGUUAAAUAUUUUUUUAUUUCUUGGGCUUCACUUUCUGACUUUCUCUGUGUCUUGGGAUUUUUCCAUUGUGCAGCUCAUGUGCCUACCUAGACAAAACAACAAGCAGUAGUCCUUGGACACACUGACACUCUCACACGUAACCAGAAGUUGAAGACACACACACAUUUACGCACAUACAUUUCUUAUUUGUUAUUACAUUUUGUGAAAUGCCAUACAUGGUAAGGUUUACAUGGUAAGUCGUAUGAUUGGAUGCUCAAGCCAUCCUGGAGAUUGUUGUUUAACCUAUGUCUAUAAAUAUGACCCUUCUUCCUGAAUAAAUCUGAGAAUGCUUUGUACCACACUU